UACGUAGGGGGCAAGCGUUGUCCGGAUUUAUUGGGCGUAAAGAGCGUGUAGGCGGCCAGACAGGUCAGCUGUGAAAACUCGAGGCUCAACCUCGAGACGUCGGUUGAAACCGUCUGGCUAGAGUCCGGAAGAGGAGAGUGGAAUUCCCGGUGUAGCGGUGAAAUGCGCAGAUAUCGGGAAGAACACCUAUGGCGAAGGCAGCUCUCUGGGACGGUACUGACGCUGAGACGCGAAAGCGUGGGGAGCGAACAGG
Molecule: ribosomal RNA, 253 nt
Filed under: uncultured bacterium
Lineage: Bacteria
Description: partial 16S ribosomal RNA
Rfam family: Bacterial small subunit ribosomal RNA
Source: RNAcentral